GAUGAAGAACGUAGCGAAAUGCGAUAAGUAGUGUGAAUUGCAGAAUUCAGUGAAUCAUCGAAUCUUUGAACGCGCAUUGCGCCCCUUGGUAUCCCGAGGGGCAUGCCUGUUCGAGCGUCAUUUCACCACUCAAGCCUGGCUUGGUGUUGGGCGACGUCCCCUUUAGGGACGCGCCUCGAAACGCUCGGCGGCGCGGCACCGGCUUUAAGCGUAGCAGAAUCUUUCGCUUUGGAAGUCGGGGCCCCGCCUGCCGGAAUACCUACUUGUAAGGUUGACCUCGGAUCAGGCAGGGAUACCCGCUGAACUUAAGCAUAUCAAUAAGCGGAGGA
RNAcentral lists this unclassified non-coding RNA (329 nucleotides) under soil metagenome. RNAcentral describes it as "partial contains 5.8S ribosomal RNA, internal transcribed spacer 2, and large subunit ribosomal RNA". The stretch from base 1 to 120 matches the Rfam family "5.8S ribosomal RNA", at positions 35 to 154 of the family's 154-position model. The record is from RNAcentral.